AUCGAUGAAGAACGCAGCGAAACGCGAUAGGUAAUGUGAAUUGCAGAAUUCCGUGAAUCAUCGAAUCUUUGAACGCACAUUGCGCCUGCUGGUAUUCCGGUAGGCAUGCCUGUUCGAGCGUCAGCAAAACCUCUCAGCAAUACUUUUUAUUGUUGGUUAUGGGUUGUGGAGGACUGGCUGUAAUGGCUGCUCCCGCCUUAAACUUGCUGCACGACCGCAAGCUAAUGCUAGGUUAAUGAAGUGGUAUUUACAUAUAUUUCAGCGACUGUUCAUAGCUUGGUGGCGUUAAGACUGAUGUUGCCCUCGUGGUGACUGAUUUUUGACCUCGAAUCAGACAAGGAUACCCGCUGAACUUAAGCAUAUCAAUAAGCGGAGGAAAAGAAACCAACAGGGAUUGCCUCAGUAACGGCGAGUGAAGCGGCAAAAGCUCAGAUUUGAAAUCCAGCAUGCUUUGUGUGCUCGAGUUGUAAUCUGCAGAGAGGACUUCGGCUUAGGUACCGGUCAAGAUUCCUUGGAAUAGGAUGACAUAGAGGGUGAGAAUCCCGUAUCCGGCUGGCCGCCAACGCCAUGUGAAGCCUCUUCGACGAGUCGAGUUGUUUGGGAAUGCAGCUCUAAAUGGGUGGUAAAUUCCAUCUAAGGCUAAAUAUCUGCGAGAGACCGAUAGCGCACAAGUAGAGUGAUCGAAAGAUGAAAAGCACUUUGAAAAGAGAGUUAAAAAGUACGUGAAAUUGUUGAAAGGGAAGCGCUUGCCAUCAGAAUUGGGCUCAGUCGAUCAGCGUUCCUUCUGGUUCGUGCACUCGAUUGUUUCCUUGUCAGUACCAGUUACAGCGGCAUGAUAAAGAUGGCGGGAAUGUGGCUCUCUUCGGGGAGUGUUAUAGCCCGCUAUGUCAUGAUGCCUGCAGUGACUGAGGACCGCGCUUUUGCAAGGGUACUGACUUAAUGGUUGUAAGCGGCCCGUCUUGAAACACGG
RNAcentral lists this ribosomal RNA (970 nucleotides) under uncultured Ascomycota. Its description in RNAcentral is "eukaryotic LSU rRNA". The stretch from base 321 to 970 matches the Rfam family "Eukaryotic large subunit ribosomal RNA", at positions 1 to 664 of the family's 3401-position model. The record is from RNAcentral. Lineage: Eukaryota; Fungi; Ascomycota.